This 449-nucleotide small RNA is filed under the name Histoplasma capsulatum var. duboisii H88. RNAcentral describes it as "Histoplasma capsulatum H88 hypothetical RNA". The record is from RNAcentral. Lineage: Eukaryota; Fungi; Ascomycota; Eurotiomycetes; Onygenales; Ajellomycetaceae.
UGCCACUGUGUUGCAUUAAUUCCAUUGAUUUCCAUUAUCUCCUCGUUCCAUAACACCAACACGGGAGAAGCGAUCGGGCCUUUGUCACUCAAUGGCGCUUUCUCGGUUCGCCUUGCAGAUUAAAAAAAAAAGGUGAUUUGUGAAAAGAAUUGUGUGGACUGCCAUGGGAAUUUCCCUCACCCUGGGGACAAUGAAUUGAAAGCUACUUGAAUAUGCACCAAUUAUUAGGAAGACCACACUUUUCUCGGAGUGGCACCAAUUCAUGAACAUUGGGCCCCAUCUCCCUUGUCCUUUCUACGAAUUGGGGUAGUUCUUACGUCCUUUCUUUCUUUCAAUUCAAACCUACGCCCCUUGUAUUUCCAGGUCUAGUUUGUUUAUUUUCUUUUAUAGAAGAGGGGGGAAGGGGGUUUCCUUCUCUUUUGUUUCCUUUUCUUUCUUCUUUAACGGAC